UUCAGUUGGUGCUUUUAUUCUAAAGCCAGCAGGUUGGUGUGUAGUUGCCUCCCUGGUCUGAAUCAGUGCCCCUUUCAGCCCCUGCCCUGCUCCCUGUCCCUUGCUCCCACCCCAAUCUGGACAGAGGACUGCCCUCCUCAAAGUCACCAACCUGCUCUCAGGGCUGAUCCUUGGAAAGGAGUUGUUUAAGGAAACACCCUAAUUGCCUUCUAAUAUGUCAAUAUCAGAUUAGAUUGAACCACCACCAUUUGCAUUUUAAUGGAAAAGCUGUGGGAAUUGGGGGCUUCAGUGGUUAACUGGUAAAGUGUGGAAAGAGAGCAGGUCACCUGGGGAGGGGAGGGGGAAUGUCCUUUCUGCCAUUUACCACCUCUCUGGCAGCCUGAGCAGGGAAGAGAACCAGGCUGGCCACCUUUCACACCACAGCCUCAAGCUGUGACAUCCUCAGGCCAGCCUGGGGACCAUGUCAUGAUGGGAGGUAUGUC
Homo sapiens (human) is the source of this 482-nucleotide long non-coding RNA. The record is from Ensembl. Lineage: Eukaryota; Metazoa; Chordata; Mammalia; Primates; Hominidae.